Molecule: non-coding RNA, 791 nt
Filed under: Exorista larvarum
Lineage: Eukaryota; Metazoa; Arthropoda; Insecta; Diptera; Tachinidae
Source: RNAcentral
AUAAAGUUUUAUUUUGGUUUUAAAAAUUGUUAUUAGUUUUAUUUAUAUGUAAAUUUUUGUAUUAUUAUUUAUUUAUUUUAAUAAUAAAUAAAUUUAAAAUAUUAUUCGCAAUAAUUAAUAUUAUUAAUUAAAGAAAUUUAGAAAUAGAAAUAUUAAAAAGUAUUGUCAAAAUUUGUGCCAGCAGUCGCGGUUAUACGAAUAAUACAAAUAAUUUUUUUUAGUUUAAAGUUAAAUUAUAUUUAUAAAAUAAAAAUAAAUUUAUUAAGUGAAAUUUUUAAAUUUAUAAUUAUAUUUUAAAAAAAAUUAAUUGAAGCUUGAAAAUUUUAAUUAUAAACUAGGAUUAGAUACCCUAUUAUUUAAAAUGUAAUUAUAUAAACUAAGGUAGUAAUAGUUAUGAUCUUGAAACUUAAAAAAUUUGGCGGUAUUUUAGUCUAUUCAGAGGAACCUGUUUUAUAAUCGAUAAUCCACGAUGGACCUUACUUAAAUUUGUUAUCAGUUUAUAUACCGUCGUUAUUAGAAUAUUUUAUAAGAAUUUUUAAUUUUCAUAAUUUUAAAAAAGAAAAUAUAUCAGAUCAAGGUGUAGCUUAUAUUUAAGUAAAAAUGGGUUACAAUAAAAUUAUUUAUAUGAAUAUAAAUUUGAAAUAUUUAUUGAAGGUGGAUUUGAUAGUAAAAUUAUAUAGAUUAAUAAUUUGAUUUUAGCUCUAAAAUAUGUACACAUCGCCCGUCGCUCUUAUUAUUAAGGUAAGAUAAGUCGUAACAUAGUAGAUGUACUGGAAAGUGUAUCUAGAAUG